AACCCCUUCGCAGGGCCGUGUAUAGUAAGUGAUCCGAACCUGCCCGGAGCGCCCCCCUUAGAGGCAAGUGAAGUUGGUGAGCCGUAUGAUGGGCAACUAUCUCCUGCGGUUCGGAGAGGACUCAGCUGUUAG
Molecule: ribosomal RNA, 132 nt
Filed under: Triticum aestivum (bread wheat)
Lineage: Eukaryota; Viridiplantae; Streptophyta; Magnoliopsida; Poales; Poaceae
Description: partial small subunit ribosomal RNA
Source: RNAcentral